Molecule: ribosomal RNA, 266 nt
Filed under: uncultured archaeon
Lineage: Archaea
Description: partial 16S ribosomal RNA
Rfam family: Archaeal small subunit ribosomal RNA
Source: RNAcentral
AGUCACUGACAUUAGAUACCCGUGUAGUCCAGGGUGUAAACGCUGCGGGCUUGGUGUUGGGGGUCCUUAGUGGGCGCCCAGUGCCGGAGAGAAGUUGUUAAGCCUGCUGCUUGGGGAGUAUGUCCGCAAGGAUGAAACUUAAAGGAAUUGGGCGGGGGAGCACCGCAACGGGAGGAGCGUGCGGUUCAAUUGGAUUCAACGCCGAAAAACUCACCAGGAGCGACGGAUAUAUGAAGGUCAAGCUGAUGACUUUACCUGAUUUUCCG